RNAcentral lists this transfer RNA (77 nucleotides) under Clostridia bacterium. RNAcentral describes it as "tRNA-His". It matches the Rfam family "tRNA". Rfam says of the family: Transfer RNA (tRNA) molecules are approximately 80 nucleotides in length. The record is from RNAcentral. Lineage: Bacteria; Bacillati; Bacillota; Clostridia.
GUGGGUAUAGCUCAGUUGGUUAGAGCGCCAGAUUGUGGCUCUGGAGGUCAAGGGUUCGACUCCCUUUAUCCACCCCA